RNAcentral lists this ribosomal RNA (235 nucleotides) under uncultured bacterium. RNAcentral's name for it is "partial 16S ribosomal RNA". It matches the Rfam family "Bacterial small subunit ribosomal RNA", at positions 118 to 350 of the family's 1533-position model. The record is from RNAcentral.
UGGGUAACCUGCCCUUCACUCUGGGAUAACUCCGGGGAAACCGGGGCUAAUACUGGAUAUGACUCGAACAGGCAUCUGUUUCGGGUGGAAAGAUUUAUUGGUGGAGGAUGGACUCGCGGCCUAUCAGCUUGUUGGUGAGGUAAUGGCUCACCAAGGCGACGACGGGUAGCCGGCCUGAGAGGGCGAUCGGCCACACUGGGACUGAGACACGGCCCAGACCUCCGUACGGGGAGCA